RNAcentral lists this ribosomal RNA (497 nucleotides) under uncultured bacterium. Its description in RNAcentral is "partial 16S ribosomal RNA". It matches the Rfam family "Bacterial small subunit ribosomal RNA", at positions 28 to 507 of the family's 1533-position model. The record is from RNAcentral.
GAUGAACGCUGGCGGCGUGCCUAAUACAUGCAAGUCGAGCGAACAGACGAGGAGCUUGCUCCUCUGACGUUAGCGGCGGACGGGUGAGUAACACGUGGAUAACCUACCUAUAAGACUGGGAUAAAUUCGGGAAACCGGAGCUAAUACCGGAUAAUAUAUUGAACCGCAUGGUUCAAUAAUGAAAGACGGUUUUGCUGUCACUUAUAGAUGGAUCCGCGCCGCAUUAGCUAGUUGGUAAGGUAACGGCUUACCAAGGCAACGAUGCGUAGCCGACCUGAGAGGGUGAUCGGCCACACUGGAACUGAGACACGGUCCAGACUCCUACGGGAGGCAGCAGUAGGGAAUCUUCCGCAAUGGGCGAAAGCCUGACGGAGCAACGCCGCGUGAGUGAUGAAGGUCUUCGGAUCGUAAAACUCUGUUAUUAGGGAAGAACAAAUGUGUAAGUAACUAUGCACGUCUUGACGGUACCUAAUCAGAAAGCCACGGCUAACUACGUG